This 384-nucleotide unclassified non-coding RNA is filed under the name fungal sp. RNAcentral's name for it is "partial internal transcribed spacer region". The stretch from base 1 to 46 matches the Rfam family "Eukaryotic small subunit ribosomal RNA", at positions 1786 to 1831 of the family's 1831-position model. The record is from RNAcentral. Lineage: Eukaryota; Fungi.
AAGUCGUAACAAGGUCUCCGUAGGUGAACCUGCGGAGGGAUCAUUAACAAUUACAAAUUUACGAUGUAUUUCCAUUGAUUUAUUGAGCGAAGCGAGAUGAAUCAAUGGAAAUGCAGAGUUUAAGUAAAAUGAGUAAUAUGAAAUAAUAUAACAGUAUCAUUUCAUUUUACAGAUUUUACACUGAAGAAGAAGAGUGUUAUAUAUGGCAGUAAAAUGCUUUAUAUGCAAAUAUAUUGCAGUAAAAUGCUUUAUAUUCUUUGGAUUCAAAACAAACUGCAGUAGUGCUGUAGCUAACGCUACAACACUACUACAGUUUAAACACACGAUAAAAUUCGACAAAAUAGACAAAAGAAAUCACUUUUAACAAUGGAUCUCUUGGCUCUU